Long non-coding RNA from Dermochelys coriacea (leatherback sea turtle), 2991 nucleotides. RefSeq lists it as uncharacterized. The record is from RefSeq and is a predicted model, not a curated record. NCBI's taxonomy places the organism in Eukaryota, Metazoa, Chordata, Testudines, Dermochelyidae. The transcript has 3 exons.
AGGUAUGGCUCCGCCUGGAAAGGUAACCCCUUUCUCUGAAAAUUUGCAUUCCAUUAUCCUUCUCCACCGUUAGGUCUUGCUCCAAGGUCCAUUGAAAUCAAAGGGGUCUCAAUCAGGGGAACAAGGUUGAAAGCAGACACUAGCUGUCACUUGACUUUAUAGAAGCUCAAAUCUAAUUUUUUGUAGAACCUCACAGCAGGUUACAAGAAAAGAUGGUUUUCCCAAAGAUCUUCUCAGGUUUUCUAUGAUCAAAAUUACAUUACAUUACAUUACAUUAUUUCUGUGUGAUGGCUGAAGCUACUGCACUUGCUAUAGUAUCUGAAGAAUCAAAUGAGGCUCUCAAUCACUGUUUAGCUAUGAGCUGUCCUUCUGCUAUUAAGGGUUUAACCAAUUUCCUUUGCUCUUCAGGCAGAUCUCUAGCAAAUAAAGAAUAUUUUCUCCCAGAGAAAGUACUGAUACCUAGACAUUAUGGUCCGAUAAUUAGAAAUCCUAAUGCCUACUGAGGUUGAGAAGAAAAUCUUCCUGCUCUGAGUAUCCAGCUUUUUGUCCUUUUUGUUAGAGGGGUAGAAAGCACUGACCUUCUUUUGUUCUCUGAAAUACUGUGGUGAACACCAGGGAGUGGGGUGUAUGUAGAAAAAAAGAAAAUCCCUUGUACAGUAAUUGAUAGCCCUUAUCGGCCUUCUUUAACAGGGCUUGACCAGUGAGUGGCUGGAUUUGCACAGAUAGUUUUGUCUAGUUGGAGUAACCUUUCAAAAAUUGGGAGGAUAAUCUUGCUGUUAGGAGAGCCCAUUAUACUCAACAAUGGAUAAGAGGUUGCUUUUCCUCACAGAGAUGGAUCUUUAAAGUUGAAGCCAUUCUGACCACCAGUUUGUGAAAUGUAACGGCAUCUUCUGAUGGGGAAGAUGUUGAUGAGACACCCACACUGUCAACAGGGGAUGUCUGAUCAUCAGGUCGCUAAUCAAUGUUCUGGUAUUCAAUGGAUCCCUCUGGUUCUUCCUCCGAGAGGGAAUCUGAGACUGCCAUUAGGGAGUGCUGCUCUCUAUACCCAGUGUAGGUGGAUGCAGGAAUACUGAAUCUGUUUUAUGAAAUUUUCCCUGACCUCUAAAAGGAGGAUAUUGGACUUUUCAUUCCUCAAGCUGUUGGGACUGGUGCAGACCUCUCAGUACUCAUGGAACCAAUGGUUACAGAAUUGAAAGGUUUGCCUGCUAGUGUCUCCUAAAAUACAAAGCAAUAAAACCAGUUUUGAUGUAACUUGAGAGUUCUUGAGGUGAAAGUGCUUCAGACUGCAUACCAAGAAGGAGAGUGUCUUUCCUUCAAGCAAGCCACACUCCUAAUAUUGGUAUGCAAAGAAGGGAAUACAGCAGGACAAGAAGCAUACCUCUUAAAUCUUAACCUUUUUCCUUUGGAUCUGCAACAGGAUCCGUAGCCCACAGUGAGCUGUGAGAACUAACAAUAUUUAUAAAAUAACUUUUUGAAAUAUACAAAAGUAAUGAAUCUAUACUCUGUUCUAAUUAACUAAAAUCUAACUCAGGCAUUGCAUCUUUGAAGAAGCUGGAUCCGGGUUGGAUCAUCUUGGAGAGGUUGUAGUCUAUCUGCUGACACAGCUGGAAGGAAGUAUGGCAGCAUGCCCCCUUUUAUAGCCUCUCCCUCAGAAUGUUCAGAAACAUCUAAGGGAGUAGUCGGAGGGAGCAGGAGAGCACACUGCUACAAAAUGUUCUGCCAUUAGUGCUGUACCAACAGAACAUCCCAGCAGAGGGAAUGAGCAGAAGCCAUUUGAAAAACACCUGUGAUACCCACAAAACAGCAUGGCAUCCUGCUCAUUAAGGAACGAAAUUAGGUAUGUUCACACAAUUAGGCACAUAUCACUUCCAUUGUUUAAUGAUGGUGGGAAAAAAUGUUAGGACUAGUCUACACUGGCAAUACUAAAGCGCGGCCGCAGCAGAGCUUUAAUGUGGCUUGUGUGAUCAUGGCACAGCCUCUCCUGUGCUCUAAAAAAACCCACCUCCAUGAGGGGCGUAGCUCCCAGUGGUGGUGCACUGUCUACGCUGGCAGUUUACAGCACUGAAACUUGCUGUGCUUGGGGGGGGGGGGUGUUUUUUCAAACUCCCGAGCGAGAAAGUUGCAGCACUGUAAAUUGCCACUGUAGACAAGACCUGGCUUAGAGUCUCCUGAUGACAGCACUGCUGAUACCAGUGCUAGACAUCAACCACCAUGCUCAUUUUAAGAAGCCUUUGGUCCAAAAUAGAACAUUAUAUUAAAAAGCAAGAAUAUCCAGAUUGUACGCUUUCCAACACAAACAUCAUGUCCUCAGAAUAGGACCCCAAAUCAUGACUGAGAUUUUCUGAGCAUUCUGCAAUAUACAUAUGUAGCAGUAAUAAACUCAUUAGCCAAAAAAAAAACCCCAGAACACAUUUAAUAGGAAUAUAAUUGUUUACAAUUAUCAGCUUAUACCCAACCAAAACAGAAUCCUAUCCUUGUUUUGAUGCUACAUUAAAUUAAUAAACUUCAAGAACACAUCUGCAGGCCAGGCCUGUAUCUCUAACAGGUAGUCCAGCGAAUUUCUGAUAAACCUGCUGCAUUUGAAAUAGACACAGAAAUUACUUGUGUAUAAGUCAGAAGUAUGUUGCCCUUUGAUGUAAAUAAAUCACAGUCAGCAACAUCAAAGAAUUACAUACUUGGAUUGAGAAGAGAUGACAACAACGGAGAGUGCCCAAAGUGGUCAACAGAUACCCUAAGAUCUCAUCUUUAGCCACUCCUCUGUGUACAGGCAGACCUGUUUUCUCUCCUCCCCCCCCCCUUUUUUGGGGGGCAGAUUUUUUGUUUUGGUUUGGUGCCAGACUGGCAGUUUUGGAGAUUGCAGUCUUCAAUUUAUCCACAGAAUAGUGUGACAAAGUUCCUCCUCUACCUUGGUGGGUCUUGCUCUUAUUGGCGGAUUUGCUCGCCUUGGAGCUUCACGGCAGCCCUCAGUUUGGCCAUUUUUGUGAACCCACA